Long non-coding RNA from Sitophilus oryzae (rice weevil), 899 nucleotides. RefSeq lists it as uncharacterized. The record is from RefSeq and is a predicted model, not a curated record. The transcript is spliced from 2 exons. Lineage: Eukaryota; Metazoa; Arthropoda; Insecta; Coleoptera; Curculionidae.
CAUUAAAAUACGCAACCAACCGUCAUUGAACCGUCCAAUCAGAUCAAAGGAGUAAUCGUCGUAGAUCGUGCGUUAUCGAUAAUGUUCGGUGCCUGAAGAAAAUUGACAAUUGACAAGAGAAUUGUUUAUUAUUUUUGACUUUUUAGUUCGUUUAAUUUAAUAAUUACUAAAACCAGUAGUUCGAAAGAUAUAUUUAAAAAUAAAAGAUAAAAUUCCAAAAAAUUAAUUAUCUAUUAACGUGGAUUUGGACGACAAUAGGUAAGAACACUAAAUUUAUUUCUAUAUUCGAUAUAAACUUGUUUAUUAGGUUUUUAGUUUGUGAUGUUUCAUGUGAUGAUCAUCAUGUUCAUCGUCUUUGAAUUGACAUGAGGAUAUCUAUGGAAAAGUAACUAAUCUGAAAGUAAGCCAACAUAUCGUUUGUCCAUUGUGUGCUAACGAAAAGAUUUUCUUUUCGCAUCAUGAGGAAGUAUUACAUCAAUUGAAAAUUUUAGGAAGUUGAUCAUUUGUCAUGGAAAAGUAUACCAAUGGAAUUAUUUGUUAAAGAAGUAUAAUUCUAAGGGUUUUAAGAAUAAAUUGGUUGAACCCAAAAUCUGGAGGAAGUACCUAUAUCCAUACACAGAAUAUGCCCAUUAAAAAUACUAGUCCAAAUUUGCUUUAAUGGUAGACAAUUAUUCAAUACAAAUUAACUUUUUAAGUGACUGAAAUAUUAAAUAGUUUAGAAUAUGGUAUAACAAUGUAAAAAAAUAUUAUUUUCAGGAACGAUUAGGGCCCGAUAUAUUUGAAACUCAUGUUGGACAUAGUAUUGAGUUGGGUAGAAUAUUAUUCUACGUUAAGUGAGGGUAUCAGAUACCUAUUAUUGUACUGUAUUUUAAUAUAUACAUUAGAAUUGUUGGUUUUUU